Molecule: ribosomal RNA, 253 nt
Filed under: uncultured bacterium
Lineage: Bacteria
Description: partial 16S ribosomal RNA
Rfam family: Bacterial small subunit ribosomal RNA
Source: RNAcentral
UACGAAGGGGGCUAGCGUUGUUCGGAAUCACUGGGCGUAAAGCGCACGUAGGCGGACCUGCAAGUCGGGGGUGAAAGCCCGAGGCUCAACCUCGGAACUGCCUUCGAUACUGCGGGUCUCGAGUCCGGGAGAGGUGAGUGGAAUUCCUAGUGUAGAGGUGAAAUUCGUAGAUAUUAGGAAGAACACCAGUGGCGAAGGCGGCUCACUGGCCCGGUACUGACGCUGAGGCGCGAAAGCGUGGGGAGCAAACAGG